Molecule: ribosomal RNA, 2598 nt
Filed under: Sphaerospora ranae
Lineage: Eukaryota; Metazoa; Cnidaria; Myxozoa; Bivalvulida; Sphaerosporidae
Description: 18S small subunit ribosomal RNA
Rfam family: Eukaryotic small subunit ribosomal RNA
Source: RNAcentral
ACCUGGUUGAUCCUGUCCAGUUAUGAUAUGCUUAUCUCAAAGACUAAGCCAUGCAUGCCUAAGUUCAUACCUUUACACGGUGAAACUGCGAAUGGCUCAGUAAAUCAGUUAUAGUUUAUUUGAUUGUACCGAAUGCCUUGCGCAUACAUUGGAUAACUGUGGGAAACUAGAGCUAAUACAUGUCAACUGCUCUCACGGGGGAGCGUGCAUUUAUUCGCCUAGAAAACCAGCACGCCACGGCUCAAGCCCGGUUGGGAGCAAUCUCGGCCGGUUGUACGGUCGUGGCGUUCACGAUGACUCUGAAUAACUGACUGCUGAUCGUAUAAGGCCUUGUGCCUACGACAUUUCAAUCAAAUUUCUGCCCUAUCAUACUUGUUGGUAGCGUAGCGGCCUACCAAGGUGAUGACGAGUAACGGGGAAUCAGGGUUCGAUUCCGGAGAGGGAGCAUUAGAAACGGCUACCACAUCCAAGGAUGGCAGCAGGCGCGCAAACUAUCCAAUCCAGACAAUGGGAGAUGGUGACGAGACAUAUUGGAUCUCACUGGCAUUGCCGGUAGAGUUACCAGAAUGACCGUAAUUUAGACACUUCGUGGACGACUACGGGAGGGCAAGUCUGGUGCCAGCAGCCGCGGUAAUACCAGCUCCUGUAGCAUAUAUAAUUGUUGUUGCGGUUAAAAAGCUCGUAGUUGGAUUACAGUGCGUUCAAGUGAUGGUUCGGCGGUAUAGCUACCUCUGGUAGUUGUGCAGUACUGUAGCGCUCAGGAUGGCAGCGCUGAGUGUGGCACUUGGUCUGCCAGCCGGCCCCUUCUCACAUUUCGGUGUGAGGCAGGAAGCCGGCUGGAUCACGGGCCAGUGCAUUACGCUCAGUGUGUUAAAACCCGUCCGGGCCUAACAGCAGUGCUGUACGCAUAUCUUGCUGAAACAUCUCGAGAGCGCGCUUUCUCGUUAGACCCUGGUGAUGAUACUCUUAAGUGGGUACACCAGACGUCUGGCGAAUUGUGCCUUGAGUAAAAUAGAGUGCUCCAAGCAGGCGUGAGUAAAAUCAAUCGCCCGUAUACUCCAGCAUGGAACGAAUGUUCAAUUGCUUCAACCACCCCAUCGGCCUAGUUAGCUGGUUUUGAACUCAUGCAAACGGCAGUGGGGGGGUCCAGGCAACUGGGUCCUCAUUGUCGGCUACGGCCAUGUCCGCGGAACGGUGUACCUGCUGUUACGACCGUGCCUUUGGCUGUUUGCAGAUGGAUAGAUGUCUGAUGCAGUGCUGGGUGGAGACGCCCCACCUUCAGCAUCACCUCUGCGACCCUGGGCUGCGGAACCGUCGGCAGGACCAAUGCGCCUUCCGUGUAUGGGUAUUGGUUAACAGAGACAUUUGGGGGCAUUAGUAUUUGGCCGCGAGAGGUGAAAUUUUUAGACCGGCCGAAGACUAACAAUUGCGAAAGCAUUUGCCAAAGAUGUUUUCAUUAAUCAAGAACGAAAAUUGGAGGAUCAAAGAUGAUUAGAUACCGUCGUAGUUCCAAUUGUAAACUAUGCCAACCAGGGCUCAGGCCGGAUCGUAAUGUUAUAUUGUGGAUCCAGGUUGGACCCUCCGGGAAACCUAAAGUUUUUGGGUUCCGGGGGGAGUAUGGUCGCAAGGCUGAAACUUAAAGGAAUUGACGGAAGGGCACCACCAGGAGUGGAGCCUGCGGCCUAAUUUGACUCAACACGGGGAAUCUCACCAGGUCCGGACAUCGGAAGGAUUGACAGACUGACAGAUCUUUCAUGAUUCGGUGGAUGGUGGUGCAUGGCCGUUCUUAGUUGGUGGAGUGAUUUGUCAGGUUAAUUCCGGUAACGAACGAGACCGAUUCCUUUAUUUUGGCCGUAUGAAGUUUUCAUUCGUGCGCCCUGGCAAUCAAGGCCUUGUCCGUUGGACUUGUUGGAGAGUCCGGCGCACUGGUUGUCCACACUGGGUUGGCUUGUGGUCCGGGUGCUGCAUCAGCAAAGGCUGCCGUGGUGUUUCAUGGCCGUUAGCUAGCGGCUCGGUUAUUAUGAUCGCUGUGAUGGCUGGUCAGAACGCUGCCGUACUGCGGUUGUGGUGCCACGGUGGUUUGGUGUAGUCCGGGUCUCGGACCUUCUUAGUGGCUGUGGCAGCUUGGGUGCCGGGAAGGAAGGCAAAUCAUCCGGCGGAUAGGGUCUGCCAGGGUCUCGAUGAGUGUUCGUGCGCCUUCAUAGAGGGACCACCGGUUGCAAACCGGGGGAAGUACGGCAAUAGCAGGUCAGUGAUGCCCUUAGAUGUUCUGGGCUGCACGCGCGCUACAAUGGUAACGACAAUGAGUUUCUGCAUCGAAAGGUGUGGGUAAUCUUGUAAAUCGUUGCCGUGCUGGGGAUUGAGCCUUGAAAUUAUUGCUCAUGAACCUGGAAUUCCUUGUAAGUACGAGUCACCAACUCGUGCUGAAUACGUCUCUGCCCUUUGUACACACCGCCCGUCGCUACUACCGAUUGAAUGACUUGGUGAGGACAUGGGAUUGAUCGACUCCUUAGUGAGACGGUUGAGAGCCUGUCCAAAUUGCGUCACUCARAGGAAGUAAAAGUCGUAACAAGGUUUCCGUAGGUGAACCAGCGGAAG